This 903-nucleotide ribosomal RNA is filed under the name uncultured Bacillota bacterium. RNAcentral's name for it is "bacterial SSU rRNA". It matches the Rfam family "Bacterial small subunit ribosomal RNA", at positions 18 to 917 of the family's 1533-position model. Lineage: Bacteria; Bacillati; Bacillota. The record is from RNAcentral.
UAUGGCUCAGGACGAACGCUGGCGGCGUGCCUAACACAUGCAAGUCGAACGAAGCUUGACGAAUGAUUUCUUCGGAAUGAAUUCUGAUAUGACUUAGUGGCGGACGGGUGAGUAACACGUGAGCAACCUGCCUUUCAGAGAGGAAUAACGGCUGGAAACGGUCGCUAAUACCUCAUAACGUAUAUUUAAGGCAUCUUAGAUAUACCAAAGAUUUAUCGCUGAAAGAUGGGCUCGCGUCUGAUUAGAUAGUUGGUGAGGUAACGGCUCACCAAGUCGACGAUCAGUAGCCGGACUGAGAGGUUGAACGGCCACAUUGGGACUGAGACACGGCCCAGACUCCUACGGGAGGCAGCAGUGGGGAAUAUUGCACAAUGGGCGCAAGCCUGAUGCAGCAACGCCGCGUGAGGGAAGACGGUUUUCGGAUUGUAAACCUUUGUCUUUGGUGAAGAAGAAAGUGACGGUAACCAAGGAGGAAGCCACGGCUAACUACGUGCCAGCAGCCGCGGUAAUACGUAGGUGGCAAGCGUUGUCCGGAAUUACUGGGUGUAAAGGGAGCGCAGGCGGGACUGCAAGUUGGAUGUGAAAUACCGAGGCUCAACCUCGGAGCUGCAUCCAAAACUGUAGUUCUUGAGUGAAGUAGAGGUAGGCGGAAUUCCGAGUGUAGCGGUGAAAUGCGUAGAUAUUCGGAGGAACACCAGUGGCGAAGGCGGCCUACUGGGCUUUAACUGACGCUGAGGCUCGAAAGUGUGGGGAGCAAACAGGAUUAGAUACCCUGGUAGUCCACACUGUAAACGAUGAUAGCUAGGUGUGGGGGGCCUGACCCCUUCCGUGCCGGAGUUAACGCAAUAAGCUAUCCACCUGGGGAGUACGGCCGCAAGGUUGCAACUCAAAUGAAUUGACGGA